UACGGAGGGUGCAAGCGUUAUCCGGAUUCACUGGGUUUAAAGGGUGCGUAGGUGGGCAGUUAAGUCAGUGGUGAAAUCUCCGGGCUCAACCCGGAAACUGCCAUUGAUACUAUCUGUCUUGAAUAUCGUGGAGGUAAGCGGAAUAUGUCAUGUAGCGGUGAAAUGCUUAGAUAUGACGUAGAACACCAAUUGCGAAGGCAGCUUACUACCCGAAUAUUGACACUGAGGCACGAAAGCGUGGGGAUCAAACAGG
Molecule: ribosomal RNA, 253 nt
Filed under: uncultured bacterium
Lineage: Bacteria
Description: partial 16S ribosomal RNA
Rfam family: Bacterial small subunit ribosomal RNA
Source: RNAcentral